GCUGUCGCGAGGCAGGGUCUGAAGGAAGCCGGAGGCAAACCCCGGACUCGACGAACAGGAACCGGAUAGAAGGCCGGCGCGGCAGGAUAACCCGGCAUUGGACGGGAAGGCCCGAUAACCAUUCGGAUGUGCGCGUUGGUAAAUCCGGCGAGGGCCGGGGGAAAGCGUCAUGU
Molecule: non-coding RNA, 173 nt
Filed under: Desulfococcus multivorans DSM 2059
Lineage: Bacteria; Pseudomonadati; Thermodesulfobacteriota; Desulfobacteria; Desulfobacterales; Desulfococcaceae
Source: RNAcentral